CUUCUGUAUCUCAAUGGAUGGAAAAUACAGACUUUUAUCCAACCUCCAUUUCUUCUUAUUGCAUUGUCUAAAAUCAUUUCCUAUUAUCAAAAGGAAAAGGAGGUGCUGUAAAUCGAGAUAACAAGCAGCUUUUCUAGAGCUGACAAUGGAACAUUUACUGUAUUGCAUGUACACAUGCAGGCAUGAAUGCCUUCAACCAGGCACACUUUUGUUUAUGGAUUUCAUUCUACAUAUUAAUUAUUUUUCUUCAAUAUGACUGGUUAUGAUUACUUAGGAAAUGCUUUUCAUCAAAGGACUGAGUUACAGUCUAACAGAUUUUGAAAAUGAAGCCAUUUUUUUCUUUUACUUUUGUUCUUGUAAUUUAUUGAAGGAAUCUAAUAUGACUUCUCAAAAAAUGAUGGGCAAACCAGAAGGCUUUGAGCUUCCGGCUUCCAGGCAGUUGUAAGGUUGGCUGUCAGGGAUGGUGUCUAUUUAUUGCCCUCUGCUGGUACCAUCCCUAUAUUUGAUGUUUCAAACCUGACUUGUCUACCAUUUGUCUCAUCAUUUAGUUGCCGUUCCCUGACAGUGCAGAGGAUGUUUUUGAGGAAAGACAGAUUAGAAGAUUGGUACUGGCAGGAUGAAAUGUCGUGUGCUUAGUUGUGCAGAAAUGAUGUUCACAAAUGAAGUGCUGGGAAACUGAAUUUCUUAGGCUAUUUCUUUAAUGGGAUCUUCAAAUGUGAGAAAUAAUAUGAAAACCUUCUCCACAGAAACAGACCCUCGAGAAAGGGAAUCAUGCUUUGAGGAAACUGAAAAAAUUAUUGCUGAUUUCCUUUUAAUAGAAAGCUCAAGGCAGUAAAAAGGAAGACAAGGUUCGCUAUUCUUUAAGUAUUCAUUACUUCACUAAAUCAUAAAGGGAAUAUUUUAGAAAAGAAAAUAGAAUAACCUAGCAAAUAGACUGCAAAUUUAACAUUCCAUUUUGCAUUUUUACAGACAAUAUAUCUGUUCUUAAUACUUAAUAUAACAGGGGAUUAAGCACUUUUGAUGAUAAACUGUAUCCCUUUCUCUUAACUACUUGUCCUCGGUCACGGGAACAUCUGCCAAUAGAUGAGGUGAUACUCAAUUGUUGGAAAUGGCAAAAACAAGUUCAUUUGUGGGGCCUUUUUGUUCCUAAAAGAAGAAACAGCAGCUUAAAUAAUGAUGGCUUCUGGGAAGUCUCAGGCUGCAUGGUCUAGCUGGGUUCCCUCUGGUUUAUGAUGUAAUAAUUCAGCUGCACAGCUGAGCUCUUGCUCACUCUUUCCCAUAUGCUCCUUCCCCUUCUCGAUCCUUCAUCCUUUCCUUUUUCCUUACUCCUUUCCUCUUGCUUAGCUUGAGUCUUCAUCCUGUCCUUGCACUUUUCCACUUUGCAUAUCCAGAGUUCAAGACUAAAAGGUCCCACUCCUCCACCCUGGAACACACCAACCUUACAGACGUCACCAGCCUGCCAACACUCAGAAGUUAUGUGCAAAGAGCAGCAGGGUCACUGCACAACACCCACGGCAGUUGUAAAGCUGCACUAGUUCUAAAGAUCCCCUUUUGCUUUUCCAUGGAAGAGAGUUAUUGAGACCUCCUGCAUGAAGCUGGCACACUUCACACCACAGAGGAAUACAUCAGUCCUGACUAGCAAAGCAGAAGAUGGACCGUAUUGCAUAAAGAAGGAUGAAAUUGAGCUGGGCCAUGUUAAAUUAAUGGGUAAAGCUUUCUGAAAUACAAUUUUAUACAUGAAGCUCUGCUACUUUCACAAGUUGCCCAAAGCAAAACUCUUCAGUUGAAUUAUUCACUGAGGGCAGAGUGAAUUCUUUUCUCCCCUGAGAAGUGGACUUCUAACCCCCCACUGAUGUUGCAUAUUCUUCCAUCUCAGAGCUCUCCUCCAUGCUGGAUAAAACUGUAUUGCUGAACUGCAGCUGCCAUGUUCCCUGGCAGCUCUUUCCAGGACAUCUUGACAAUGGGAGACCAGCUGACUUUACAGCUGCUCUCCUCUCGGCUAAUUUGUUUGGAGACAUCAGAUUUUCACAACUUGUCCUCAGCUUUUCGUAGGCGUCUGCUAAGAUACAGCACUCUUCCUGCUUAUUAAUCUUUGAAGAUCAAACAAUUUUUAAAAAGAGACAGGUGCCAACCUCUCCCCAGAGCUCCAGCUGGUGCUGAAGGCAAUAAAGGUGAACACCCAGCAAUAGAGGUUGAGAAAGUUUUGAGGUAGAUAGCAUAUGCUGAAUGCAAGCUGGAACCUGAAUGAACAAUAUCCACUGCCACAUUUUCAGAAAGCCUCCAAGAGCUUGCUAUUCCAGCAGGAUUCUUGUGAGCACCAUGUCAGAACUAGUCGAGAAGUUUUUUUGUUUCUCAUGGCAGCUGAGUAUCACAUUCAGAGAGUCCCUGGUUCCUUGAGCACACCUUGCAUGGAAUUCUGCAGUGCACAAAACUUACCCAUGUGGGGCCAAGACUGAUGGCAGGACUCAUAGAAUGGUUUGGGUUGGAAGGGACCUUUAAGAUCAUCUAGUUCCAUCCCUCCUGCUAUAGGCAGGGACACCUCCCUCUAGACCAGGUUGCUCACAGCCCCAUCCAGUCUGGCCUUGAAUG
Numida meleagris (helmeted guineafowl) is the source of this 2589-nucleotide long non-coding RNA. RefSeq lists it as uncharacterized. The record is from RefSeq and is a predicted model, not a curated record. Lineage: Eukaryota; Metazoa; Chordata; Aves; Galliformes; Numididae. The transcript is spliced from 3 exons.